This 497-nucleotide ribosomal RNA is filed under the name uncultured bacterium. RNAcentral describes it as "partial 16S ribosomal RNA". It matches the Rfam family "Bacterial small subunit ribosomal RNA", at positions 28 to 507 of the family's 1533-position model. The record is from RNAcentral.
GACGAACGCUGGCGGCGUGCCUAAUACAUGCCAGUUGAGCGCUGAAGGUUGGUACUUGUACCAACUGGAUGAGCAGCGAACGGGUGAGUAACGCGUGGGGAAUCUGCCUUUGAGCGGGGGACAACAUUUGGAAACGAAUGCUAAUACCGCAUAAAAACUUUAAACACAAGUUUUAAGUUUGAAAGAUGCAAUUGCAUCACUCAAAGAUGAUCCCGCGUUGUAUUAGCUAGUUGGUGAGGUAAAGGCUCACCAAGGCGAUGAUACAUAGCCGACCUGAGAGGGUGAUCGGCCACAUUGGGACUGAGACACGGUCCAAACUCCUACGGGAGGCAGCAGUAGGGAAUCUUCGGCAAUGGACGAAAGUCUGACCGAGCAACGCCGCGUGAGUGAAGAAGGUUUUCGGAUCGUAAAACUCUGUUGGUAGAGAAGAACGUUGGUGAGAGUGGAAAGCUCAUCAAGUGACGGUAACUACCCAGAAAGGGACGGCUAACUACGUG